CCUACGGGAGGCAGCAGUGGGGAAUAUUGGACAAUGGGCGCAAGCCUGAUCCAGCAAUGCCGCGUGAGUGAUGAAGGCCUUAGGGUCGUAAAGCUCUUUUACCAGGGAUGAUAAUGACAGUACCUGGAGAAUAAGCUCCGGCUAACUCCGUGCCAGCAGCCGCGGUAAUACGGAGGGAGCUAGCGUUGUUCGGAAUUACUGGGCGUAAAGCGUACGUAGGCGGUUAUUCAAGUCAGAGGUGAAAGCCCGGGGCUCAACCCCGGAACGGCCUUUGAAACUAGGUAGCUAGAAUCUUGGAGAGGUCAGUGGAAUUCCGAGUGUAGAGGUGAAAUUCGUAGAUAUUCGGAAGAACACCAGUGGCGAAGGCGACUGACUGGACAAGUAUUGACGCUGAGGUACGAAAGCGUGGGGAGCAAACAGGAUUAGAUACCCUGGUAGUCCACGCCGUAAACGAUGAUAACUAGCUGUUCGGGCACUUGGUGCUUGAGUGGNGCAGCUACGCAUAAGUUAUCCGUCCGUGGGAGGUACGGUCGCGAAGAAUUAAAACUUAAAAGUAAGUAGUAGACGCGAGAGAGUCGACGACGACGACGACGAGGAGGAG
This 601-nucleotide ribosomal RNA is filed under the name uncultured bacterium. RNAcentral describes it as "bacterial SSU rRNA". The stretch from base 1 to 516 matches the Rfam family "Bacterial small subunit ribosomal RNA", at positions 338 to 873 of the family's 1533-position model. The record is from RNAcentral.